RNAcentral lists this ribosomal RNA (460 nucleotides) under uncultured bacterium. RNAcentral's name for it is "partial 16S ribosomal RNA". It matches the Rfam family "Bacterial small subunit ribosomal RNA", at positions 338 to 795 of the family's 1533-position model. The record is from RNAcentral.
CCUACGGGGGGCAGCAGUGAGGAAUAUUGGUCAAUGGGCGGAAGCCUGAACCAGCCAAGUCGCGUGAGGGAUUAAGGCCCUGCGGGUCGUAAACCUCUUUUGCCGGGGAGCAGUGGUCCGGACGCGUCCGGACCGGGAGAGUACCCGGAGAAAAAGCAUCGGCUAACUCCGUGCCAGCAGCCGCGGUAAUACGGAGGAUGCGAGCGUUAUCCGGAUUUAUUGGGUUUAAAGGGUGCGCAGGCGGGCCUUUAAGCCGGCGGUGGAAUCGCGGGGCUCAACCCCGCCGAGCCGUCGGAACUGGGGGCCUUGAGUGCGGCGGAGGCAGGCGGAAUGCGCGGUGUAGCGGUGAAAUGCAUAGAUAUCGCGCAGAACCCCGAUUGCGAAGGCAGCGUGCCGUGCCGCCACUGACGCUGAGGCACGAAAGCGCGGGGAUCGAACAGGAUUAGAUACCCUUGUAGUC